CUACGGGCCGCUGCAGUGAGGAAUAUUGCACAAUGGGGGGAACCCUGAUGCAGCAACGCCGCGUGGAGGAUGACGCAUUUCGGUGUGUAAAUUCCUUUUAUAUGUCAAGAAAAUGACGGUAGCAUAUGAAUAAGCACCGGCUAACUCCGUGCCAGCAGCCGCGGUAAUACGGAGGGUGCAAGCGUUACUCGGAAUCACUGGGCGUAAAGGACGCGUAGGCGGGUUGGAAAGUCAGGUGUGAAAUCCUACAGCUUAACUGUAGAACUGCACUUGAAACUUCUAAUCUAGAGAAUGGGAGGGGGAGAUGGAAUUAGUGGUGUAGGGGUAAAAUCCGUAGAUAUCACUAGGAAUACCUAAAGCGAAGGCGAUCUCCUGGAACAUUACUGACGCUAAGGCGUGAAAGCGUGGGGAGCAAACAGGAUUAGAUACCCGGGUAGUC
This 439-nucleotide ribosomal RNA is filed under the name uncultured bacterium. RNAcentral's name for it is "partial 16S ribosomal RNA". It matches the Rfam family "Bacterial small subunit ribosomal RNA", at positions 339 to 795 of the family's 1533-position model. The record is from RNAcentral.